Heterocephalus glaber (naked mole-rat) is the source of this 118-nucleotide small nuclear RNA. Its record names the gene U2. It matches the Rfam family "U2 spliceosomal RNA". From Rfam's summary of the family: U2 is a small nuclear RNA (snRNA) component of the spliceosome (involved in pre-mRNA splicing). Complementary binding between U2 snRNA (in an area lying towards the 5' end but 3' to hairpin I) and the branchpoint sequence (BPS) of the intron results the bulging out of an unpaired adenosine, on the BPS, which initiates a nucleophilic attack at the intronic 5' splice site, thus starting the first of two transesterification reactions that mediate splicing. Lineage: Eukaryota; Metazoa; Chordata; Mammalia; Rodentia; Bathyergidae. The record is from Ensembl.
ACUUCUUCUCAGUCUUUUGGCUAAAAUCAAGUGUAGUAUCUGUUCUUAUCAGUUUAAUAUUAUACUAACUUAUAUUCAACAAGAAUACCAACAAAAGUUCUGAGAAAAGCCAAGCCAA